Molecule: transfer RNA, 73 nt
Filed under: Mesorhizobium sp.
Lineage: Bacteria; Pseudomonadati; Pseudomonadota; Alphaproteobacteria; Hyphomicrobiales; Phyllobacteriaceae
Also listed under: 3 other names
Description: tRNA-Pro
Rfam family: tRNA (bases 5-62)
About the family: Transfer RNA (tRNA) molecules are approximately 80 nucleotides in length.
Source: RNAcentral
UGGCGGCACAGUCUGGUAGCGCACAUCGUUCGGGACGAUGGGGUCGCAGGUUCAAAUCCUGCCACUCCGACCA